RNAcentral lists this ribosomal RNA (271 nucleotides) under uncultured prokaryote. RNAcentral's name for it is "partial 16S ribosomal RNA". It matches the Rfam family "Bacterial small subunit ribosomal RNA", at positions 524 to 794 of the family's 1533-position model. The record is from RNAcentral.
UACGUAGGGGGCGAGCGUUGUCCGGAAUCAUUGGGCGUAAAGCGCGUGUAGGCGGCUUGGUAAGUCUGGUGUGAAACCUUGGGGCUCAACCCCAAGCCUGCACUGGAUACUGCCUGAUUUGAGUCCGGGAGGGGAGAGCGGAAUUCCUAGUGUAGCGGUGAAAUGCGCAGAUAUUAGGAAGAACACCGGUGGCGAAGGCGGCUCUCUGGAACGGUACUGACGCUGAGACGCGAAAGCGUGGGGAGCGAACAGGAUUAGAUACCCUGGUAGU